RNAcentral lists this transfer RNA (95 nucleotides) under Brevibacterium aurantiacum. RNAcentral describes it as "tRNA-Glu". The record is from RNAcentral. Lineage: Bacteria; Bacillati; Actinomycetota; Actinomycetes; Micrococcales; Brevibacteriaceae.
GUGCUGGUUUGGGUUGAGGAAUGGACCUGGAGGCUUUCAUCCUCCCGGUUCCAGGCCGCGAUGACGCCUUUGCCUUCCAUCGGCAUGCAGGCGCU